This 795-nucleotide ribosomal RNA is filed under the name uncultured fungus. RNAcentral's name for it is "eukaryotic LSU rRNA". The stretch from base 193 to 346 matches the Rfam family "5.8S ribosomal RNA". The record is from RNAcentral. Lineage: Eukaryota; Fungi.
ACCGAGGUGCGAGGGCUGUCGCUGACCUCUUUUGGUCGUGCACGCCCAAGUGCUCUCACACAAUCCAUCUCACCCCUUGUGCACCACCGCGUGGGUCCCAUUCUGGCUUGUCCGGAGGGGGGCUCGCGUUUUCACACAAACUUGAAGUAGUGUAGAAUGUCCUUUUUUUUUGCGAUGACACGCAAUCAAUACAACUUUCAACAACGGAUCUCUUGGCUCUCGCAUCGAUGAAGAACGCAGCGAAAUGCGAUACGUAAUGUGAAUUGCAGAAUUCAGUGAAUCAUCGAAUCUUUGAACGCACCUUGCGCCCCUUGGCAUUCCGAGGGGCACACCCGUUUGAGUGUCGUGAAAUUCUCAAAACCCUUUCUUUUGGUCAUUUUUGGCCGCGGGAAGGAUUUUGGACUUGGAGGUCUUUUGCUGGCUUCGCCUUGAAGCAAGCUCCUCCCAAAUGUAUUAGUGGGGUCUGCAUUGUCGGUCCUUGGCGUGAUAAGUUGCUUCUACGUCUUGGACUUUUGGCGCUGUACACCUGCUUCUAAGCGUCUCGUUGACAACGAUGGUGCUCCGGUCGCCGCCGAUUUUUCGGUGGGAGGCUUGACCCACGAAACAAACCUUGACCUCAAAUCGGGUGAGACUACCCGCUGAACUUAAGCAUAUCAAUAAGCGGAGGAAAAGAAACUAACAAGGAUUCCCCUAGUAACUGCGAGUGAAGCGGGAAAAGCUCAAAUUUAAAAUCUGGUGGCCUUUGGUCAUCCGAGUUGUAAUUUAGAGAAGCGUCUUCCGCGCUGGGACCGUGUA